GCUUGUCUCAAAGAUUAAGCCAUGCAUGUCUCAGCAUAAGCUUCAACACGGUGAAACUGCAAAUGGCUCAUUAAAGCAGUUACAAUUUAUUUGAUGGUCACUGUUACAUGGAUAACUGUGGUAAUUCUAGAGCUAAUACAUGCACAAAUUCCCGUCAGGGAUGUAUUUAUUAGAUUGAAACCAAUGCGGGGUAACCCGGUGUUUGGUGAUUCAUAAUAACUUUCGGAUCGCAUUUGCGAUGCAUCAUUCAAGUUUCUGCCCUAUCAGCUUUGGAUGGUAGGGUAUUGGCCUACCAUGGCAUUAACGGGUAACGGAGGAUUUGGGUUCGAUUCCGGAGAGGGAGCCUGAGAAAUGGCUACCACAUCCAAGGAAGGCAGCAGG
This 381-nucleotide ribosomal RNA is filed under the name uncultured Chrysophyceae. Its description in RNAcentral is "partial small subunit ribosomal RNA". It matches the Rfam family "Eukaryotic small subunit ribosomal RNA", at positions 30 to 432 of the family's 1831-position model. Lineage: Eukaryota; Chrysophyceae. The record is from RNAcentral.